UGAAAAUAGAAAGUGAGAGCGAAAUAAAACAUGGAUAUAUACGCAAAAAGUCAUGACAUGUUCCAAACUCGGACCAUACAUGUCAUACAUGGCAAUGUCUAAAUGUCACCCCCCUUUUUUGUGAAGAGUUUUUUCAAGCUUUUUUGGGCAUACAAACGUAAUUAAGGGGACAGAAAAUUUCAAUAUACAAUGUAGAUAUAACUUUGAGAACAGUUGUGCACCCAUCA
Molecule: long non-coding RNA, 227 nt
Filed under: Mytilus galloprovincialis (Mediterranean mussel)
Lineage: Eukaryota; Metazoa; Mollusca; Bivalvia; Mytilida; Mytilidae
Source: RNAcentral